This 253-nucleotide ribosomal RNA is filed under the name uncultured bacterium. RNAcentral's name for it is "partial 16S ribosomal RNA". It matches the Rfam family "Bacterial small subunit ribosomal RNA", at positions 524 to 776 of the family's 1533-position model. The record is from RNAcentral.
UACGUAGGGUGCAAGCGUUGUCCGGAAUUAUUGGGCGUAAAGAGCUCGUAGGCGGUCUGUCACGUCGGCUGUGAAAACCCGAGGCUCAACCUCGGGCCUGCAGUCGAUACGGGCAAACUAGAGUACUGCAGGGGAGACUGGAAUUCCUGGUGUAGCGGUGAAAUGCGCAGAUAUCAGGAGGAACACCGGUGGCGAAGGCGGGUCUCUGGGCAGUAACUGACGCUGAGGAGCGUAAGCGUGGGGAGCGAACAGG